AAUGUUACUAAUUUUCUCUGAAAAUUUUUAAAGGUUAGUGAAAAAUUUACAUUGCCCCUGUGCAAGGAUGACAUGCAAACCCAUGAAGCGUUCCACAUUUUU
This is a small nuclear RNA of Octopus sinensis (East Asian common octopus), 102 nucleotides long. The record is from RefSeq and is a predicted model, not a curated record. Lineage: Eukaryota; Metazoa; Mollusca; Cephalopoda; Octopoda; Octopodidae.